This is a long non-coding RNA of Polypterus senegalus (gray bichir), 625 nucleotides long. RefSeq lists it as uncharacterized. The transcript has 3 exons. Lineage: Eukaryota; Metazoa; Chordata; Cladistia; Polypteriformes; Polypteridae. The record is from RefSeq and is a predicted model, not a curated record.
GGCCAGGCAGGGUCGGCGUUUAGCGCUAGAGGCGCCCCCGAGAGCAACGAAGUCACCGGGAGGGCGACACGAAAGCGACGGCUCUCUUCAACUUGAUGACAACUGCUGACAAAAAGACAAGGACGGACAGAGGCUUUCACGGGCACUUGGGAUUCUCGAGUUUUGCUUCAAUGCCGUGCCAAGCCACACUGAUUCAUGUUGAUGUCCGGUCUACGUGAGGAAGGAAUGCCAAUAAAAAUGCAGAUGUUGCCAGUAUCCUGAAUGGCAGACGUUCCUGUGGUUUUGUUUUGCUGAUGUGUUGGUCCUGCUUAUUUAUUAGCGGCUAAGGGAGUUUGUGUUUCCUCGGAGGCGGAGCCCUAACCCUGACUCCACCUCUCACUUCCGGGCUGGACGGACAGACAGACACGCACACAGAGACAGACACUUCCACGUGUAGACGUUGUGCCUAGAGGAUGGAAGGACUGAGAGAGGAGCAGUACCUCACCUGGAACACAAGAGGGCAGCCAUCCUGGUGGGUGUUGUGGCCACCGCCAGGGGGCACCUGGAUGGUUCAGAAGCCAUCAGCGGUUAUCAGGGAUCACAUCAGGGUGCCUUAUAAAAGGGGCCGCCUCACUCCAUUCAGGGA